GAUGAACGCUGGCGGCGUGCCUAAUACAUGCAAGUCGAGCGAACGGACGAGAAGCUUGCUUCUCUGAUGUUAGCGGCGGACGGGUGAGUAACACGUGGAUAACCUACCUAUAAGACUGGGAUAACUUCGGGAAACCGGAGCUAAUACCGGAUAAUAUUUUGAACCGCAUGGUUCAAAAGUGAAAGACGGUCUUGCUGUCACUUAUAGAUGGAUCCUCGCUGCAUUAGCUAGUUGGUAAGGUAACGGCUUACCAAGGCAACGAUGCAUAGCCGACCUGAGAGGGUGAUCGGCCACACUGGAACUGAGACACGGUCCAGACUCCUACGGGAGGCAGCAGUAGGGAAUCUUCCGCAAUGGGCGAAAGCCUGACGGAGCAACGCCGCGUGAGUGAUGAAGGUCUUCGGAUCGUAAAACUCUGUUAUUAGGGAAGAACAUAUGUGUAAGUAACUGUGCACAUCUUGACGGUACCUAAUCAGAAAGCCACGGCUAAAUACGUG
RNAcentral lists this ribosomal RNA (497 nucleotides) under uncultured bacterium. RNAcentral describes it as "partial 16S ribosomal RNA". It matches the Rfam family "Bacterial small subunit ribosomal RNA", at positions 28 to 507 of the family's 1533-position model. The record is from RNAcentral.